UACAGAGGUCCCAAGCGUUGUUCGGAUUCAUUGGGCGUAAAGGGCUCGUAGGCGGCCAACUAAGUCAGACGUGAAAUCCCUCGGCUUAACCGGGGAACUGCGUCUGAUACUGGAUGGCUCGAGUUUGGGAGAGGGAUGCGGAAUUCCAGGUGUAGCGGUGAAAUGCGUAGAUAUCUGGAGGAACACCGGUGGCGAAGGCGGCAUCCUGGACCAAUACUGACGCUGAGGAGCGAAAGCCAGGGGAGCAAACGGG
Molecule: ribosomal RNA, 253 nt
Filed under: uncultured bacterium
Lineage: Bacteria
Description: partial 16S ribosomal RNA
Rfam family: Bacterial small subunit ribosomal RNA
Source: RNAcentral